This 332-nucleotide ribosomal RNA is filed under the name uncultured bacterium. Its description in RNAcentral is "bacterial SSU rRNA". It matches the Rfam family "Bacterial small subunit ribosomal RNA", at positions 28 to 334 of the family's 1533-position model. The record is from RNAcentral.
GACGAACGCUGGCGGCGUGCCUAAUACAUGCAAGUCGAGCGAGCGGAACCAACAGAUUUACUUCGGUAAUGACGUUGGGAAAGCGAGCGGCGGAUGGGUGAGUAACACGUGGGGAACCUGCCCCUAAGUCUGGGAUACCAUUUGGAAACAGGUGCUAAUACCGGAUAAUAAAGCAGAUCGCAUGAUCAGCCUUUGAAAGGCGGCGUAAGCUGUCGCUAAGGGAUGGCCCCGCGGUGCAUUAGCUAGUUGGUAAGGUAACGGCUUACCAAGGCGACGAUGCAUAGCCGAGUUGAGAGACUGAUCGGCCACAUUGGGACUGAGACACGGCCCAA